This is a non-coding RNA of Lonchura striata (white-rumped munia), 128 nucleotides long. The record is from RefSeq and is a predicted model, not a curated record. Lineage: Eukaryota; Metazoa; Chordata; Aves; Passeriformes; Estrildidae.
UGUGUCACAUUGCCAGGUCACAAAAAUGACGUCCUACACAGACAAGGGAGAAAAGCCCCAACGAGGCCGCUUCAUCCAUUUCCACUCCAUCACCUUCUGGGUCGGCAAUGCCAAGCAGGUGAGAGGCU